UAAACCUGGUUGAUCCUGCCAGUAGUCAUAUGCUUGUCCCAAAGAUUAAGCCAUGCAUGUCUAAGUAUAAACAAAUCUAUACUGUGAAACUGCGAAUGGCUCAUUAAAUCAGUUAUAAUUUAUUUGAUAGUCUCUUUAUCAUUGGAUAACCGUGGUAAUUCUAGAGCUAAUACAUGCAACAAGCCCGACUUUUG
RNAcentral lists this ribosomal RNA (194 nucleotides) under uncultured eukaryote. RNAcentral's name for it is "partial 18S ribosomal RNA". It matches the Rfam family "Eukaryotic small subunit ribosomal RNA", at positions 1 to 191 of the family's 1831-position model. The record is from RNAcentral.